Molecule: ribosomal RNA, 366 nt
Filed under: Columbicola meinertzhageni
Lineage: Eukaryota; Metazoa; Arthropoda; Insecta; Psocodea; Philopteridae
Description: partial 12S ribosomal RNA
Source: RNAcentral
CCCUAUUAUUAGGAUUAAAAGGCUUUUAGAGAGUAGGUUUAAAAUCUGAAAACGAUCCAGAAUGGCGGUUUUUUUUAUUUUCAGAGAAAUGUGUUUUUAAAACGAAAUUGCACGAAAAUCUUUCUUAGUUUUGAAUCCCAUCCUGUACACCGCCGUCUGAAGGGUCAAUUAGAAAAAUUAACCCUAAUUUUUGGAAAAAAAAAUAAGUCAGGUUAGGUGCAGACUAUGGCUAAGAAGAAAUGCAUUGCACUAAAUGUGACCAACCCAAUAAUUGAAAACUAUUGUGAAGGGGAAUUUGAAAGUAGGAAAUUUUUACCAUGAAAUUCCGAACUAAUACCAAAAAAAUGUACACAUCGCCCGUCGCUC